CCCGCCAAGACUUUUGGGACAACCGCCACCAUGUUAAGCCCAGCAGCGAUCUCCUCUGGCGGAUUCAGGUUCAUAUAUCUAUAUCUAUAUCUAUAUCUAUAUCUAUAUCUAUAUAUAUAUACCCUUUUUUUUCCAUUAACAUUUUUCAUGAGCCAUUCUACCUAAUUAUAACUCAAUUCAUUAAUUAUGGUAAUUAAUUUCUUGUUUAAUUUUUUAUAUUGUUAAUUUUGUUUGUCACGUAAAGAGUAUUAGCAAAGUGGUACAAUAUUUGAGUUUUGAUCACCCCCUGCAAAAUGAAUUUCUGUUGAUUGAUUUUUGACAAUGAGAAAGUUGGUUUGUAACUUAGUGCCUUCUUUUUCCACUAAAAUUACUGUUUACUUGACCAAUAUUUGAUUUCCAGAUCGAUUUUAUUUUCUCCUCUUAAUUUUUAUUUAAUUAAUUAAUUAAUCAAGCAAACUUUACUUGACCACCACAAAGUCUUCUUUAUAUGCUCGAUUUAUCAUUCAUUACACACAGACAGGCCUAACAAAGUUAUAUUCGUUUUAUAAUUAUUGUCUUAAUAAUUAUUGGAUUUUUCGGACAAAUAUCUAAUAUUAUGUAUAUCUAAAAAUUACCGAAAAAUGCAGUUCCUGCAUGAGAACAAAUUCAAACAGACAAUACCUCAAGUAAAGGUGGCUGACGGUGAAGACAUAACCUACGAGACUGCCACCGCCACUCUCCGGCGAGCGGUUCACUUCUUCUCCGCCUUGCAAGCAAGUGACGGCCACUGGCCUGCAGAAAAUGCCGGCCCACUAUUCUUUCUUCCACCUCUGGUAAAUUAACAAUAAUUAGCAUCUUACUAAACAAUCCAAUUUUAUAUUUUUAAAAUCUUUAAAAAAUAAAAAAUUAAAAAAAAUCUAACCUCUAUGCAAAACAAUACAGGUGAUGAUACUGUACAUCACAGGGCAUCUCAACACAGUCUUCUCAGCAGAACACCGUCGAGAAAUUCUCC
RNAcentral lists this long non-coding RNA (991 nucleotides) under Erythranthe guttata (spotted monkey flower). RNAcentral describes it as "long non-coding RNA (EGUT_LNC000939)". Lineage: Eukaryota; Viridiplantae; Streptophyta; Magnoliopsida; Lamiales; Phrymaceae. The record is from RNAcentral.